RNAcentral lists this ribosomal RNA (253 nucleotides) under uncultured bacterium. Its description in RNAcentral is "partial 16S ribosomal RNA". It matches the Rfam family "Bacterial small subunit ribosomal RNA", at positions 524 to 776 of the family's 1533-position model. The record is from RNAcentral.
UACGUAGGGGGCAAGCGUUGUCCGGAUUUAUUGGGCGUAAAGCGCUCGCAGGUGGUUCGUCGCGUCGUGCGUGAAAGACCCCGGCUCAACUGGGGAGUGUCGUGCGAUACGGGCGGACUGGAGGCCAGUAGGGGGAUGCGGAAUUCCGGGUGUAGUGGUGGAAUGCGUAGAGAUCCGGAGGAACACCAGCGGCGAAGGCGGCAUCCUGGACUGGUCCUGACACUCAGGAGCAAAAGCGUGGGGAGCGAUCCGG